This 425-nucleotide ribosomal RNA is filed under the name uncultured bacterium. RNAcentral's name for it is "partial 16S ribosomal RNA". It matches the Rfam family "Bacterial small subunit ribosomal RNA", at positions 354 to 796 of the family's 1533-position model. The record is from RNAcentral.
GUGGGGAAUUUUGGACAAUGGGGGCAACCCUGAUCCAGCCAUGCCGCGUGAGUGAUGAAGGCCCUAGGGUUGUAAAGCUCUUUCACCGGAGAAGAUAAUGACGGUAUCCGGAGAAGAAGCCCCGGCUAACUUCGUGCCAGCAGCCGCGGUAAUACGAAGGGGGCUAGCGUUGUUCGGAAUUACUGGGCGUAAAGCGCACGUAGGCGGACAUUUAAGUCAGGGGUGAAAUCCCGGAGCUCAACUCCGGAACUGCCUUUGAUACUGGGUGUCUGGAGGAUGGAAGAGGUGAGUGGAAUUCCGAGUGGAGAGGUGAAAUUCGGAGAUAUUCGGAGGAACACCAGUGGCGAAGGCGGCUCACUGGUCCAUUACUGACGCUGAGGUGCGAAAGCGUGGGGAGCAAACAGGAUUAGAAACCCUGGUAGUCC